This 301-nucleotide ribosomal RNA is filed under the name uncultured bacterium. RNAcentral's name for it is "partial 16S ribosomal RNA". It matches the Rfam family "Bacterial small subunit ribosomal RNA", at positions 509 to 807 of the family's 1533-position model. The record is from RNAcentral.
CAGUAGCCGCGGUAAUACAGAGGGUGCGAGCGUUAAUCGGAUUUACUGGGCGUAAAGCGUGCGUAGGCGGCUUUUUAAGUCGGAUGUGAAAUCCCUGAGCUUAACUUAGGAAUUGCAUUCGAUACUGGGAAGCUAGAGUAUGGGAGAGGAUGGUAGAAUUCCAGGUGUAGCGGUGAAAUGCGUAGAGAUCUGGAGGAAUACCGAUGGCGAAGGCAGCCAUCUGGCCUAAUACUGACGCUGAGGUACGAAAGCAUGGGGAGCAAACAGGAUUAGAGACCCCCGUAGUCCCUGUCUCUUAUAC